UACGUAGGGGGCAAGCGUUGUCCGGACUUAUUGGGCGUAAAGAGCUCGUAGGUGGUUUGGUAAGUCGGAUGUGAAAUCUCCAGGCUCAACCUGGAGGGGUCAUUCGAUACUGCCAUGACUAGAGGUCGGUAGGGGAGUGUGGAAUUCCUGGUGGAGCGGUGAAAUGCGCAGAUAUCAGGAGGAACACCCGUAGCGAAGGCGGCACUCUGGGCCGAUUCUGACACUGAGGAGCGAAAGCGUGGGGAGCGAACAGG
RNAcentral lists this ribosomal RNA (254 nucleotides) under uncultured bacterium. RNAcentral describes it as "partial 16S ribosomal RNA". It matches the Rfam family "Bacterial small subunit ribosomal RNA", at positions 524 to 776 of the family's 1533-position model. The record is from RNAcentral.